RNAcentral lists this ribosomal RNA (497 nucleotides) under uncultured bacterium. RNAcentral's name for it is "partial 16S ribosomal RNA". It matches the Rfam family "Bacterial small subunit ribosomal RNA", at positions 28 to 507 of the family's 1533-position model. The record is from RNAcentral.
GAUGAACGCUGGCGGCGUGCCUAAUACAUGCAAGUCGAGCGAACGGACGAGAAGCUUGCUUUUCUGAUGUUAGCGGCGGACGGGUGAGUAACAUGUGGAUAACCUACCUAUAAGACUGGGAUAACUUCGGGAAACCGGAGCUAAUACCGGAUAAUAUUUUGAACCGCAUGGUUCAAAAGUGAAAGACGGUCUUGCUGUCACUUAUAGAUGGAUCCGCGCUGCAUUAGCUAGUUGGUAAGGUAACGGCUUACCAAGGCAACGAUGCAUAGCCGACCUGGGAGGGGGAUCGGCCACACUGGAACUGAGACACGGUCCAGACUCCUAGGGGAGGCAGCAGAGGGGAAUCUUGCGCAAUGGGCGAAAGCCUGACGGAGCAACGCCGCGUGAGUGAUGAAGGUCUUCGGAUCGUAAAACUCUGUUAUUAGGGAAGAACAUAGGUGUAAGUAACUGUGCACAUCGUGACGGUACCUAAUCAGAAAGCCACGGCUAACUACGUG